UAAUACGUAGGGUGCAAGCGUUAAUCGGAAUUACUGGGCGUAAAGCGUGCGCAGGCGGCUUUGCAAGACAGAUGUGAAAUCCCCGGGCUUAACCUGGGAACUGCAUUUGUGACUGCAUGGCUGGAGUGCGGCAGAGGGGGAUGGAAUUCCGCGUGUAGCAGUGAAAUGCGUAGAUAUGCGGAGGAACACCGAUGGCGAAGGCA
Molecule: ribosomal RNA, 203 nt
Filed under: uncultured bacterium
Lineage: Bacteria
Description: partial 16S ribosomal RNA
Rfam family: Bacterial small subunit ribosomal RNA
Source: RNAcentral